This 1052-nucleotide ribosomal RNA is filed under the name Salmonella enterica. Its description in RNAcentral is "partial 23S ribosomal RNA". It matches the Rfam family "Bacterial large subunit ribosomal RNA", at positions 729 to 1773 of the family's 2925-position model. The record is from RNAcentral. Lineage: Bacteria; Pseudomonadati; Pseudomonadota; Gammaproteobacteria; Enterobacterales; Enterobacteriaceae.
UCUAGCCAUGGGCAGGUUGAAGGUUGGGUAACACUAACUGGAGGACCGAACCGACUAAUGUUGAAAAAUUAGCGGAUGACCUGUGGCUGGGGGUGAAAGGCCAAUCAAACCGGGAGAUAGCUGGUUCUCCCCGAAAGCUAUUUAGGUAGCGCCUCGUGAAUUCAUCUCCGGGGGUAGAGCACUGUUUCGGCUAGGGGGCCAUCCCGGCUUACCAACCCGAUGCAAACUGCGAAUACCGGAGAAUGUUAUCACGGGAGACACACGGCGGGUGCUAACGUCCGUCGUGAAGAGGGAAACAACCCAGACCGCCAGCUAAGGUCCCAAAGUCAUGGUUAAGUGGGAAACGAUGUGGGAAGGCCCAGACAGCCAGGAUGUUGGCUUAGAAGCAGCCAUCAUUUAAAGAAAGCGUAAUAGCUCACUGGUCGAGUCGGCCUGCGCGGAAGAUGUAACGGGGCUAAACCAUGCACCGAAGCUGCGGCAGCGACGCUGAUGCGUUGUUGGGUAGGGGAGCGUUCUGUAAGCCUGUGAAGGUGUGUCGUGAGGCAUGCUGGAGGUAUCAGAAGUGCGAAUGCUGACAUAAGUAACGAUAAAGCGGGUGAAAAGCCCGCUCGCCGGAAGACCAAGGGUUCCUGUCCAACGUUAAUCGGGGCAGGGUGAGUCGACCCCUAAGGCGAGGCCGAAAGGCGUAGUCGAUGGGAAACGGGUUAAUAUUCCCGUACUUGGUGUUACUGCGAAGGGGGGACGGAGAAGGCUAUGUUGGCCGGGCGACGGUUGUCCCGGUUUAAGCGUGUAGGUGUGUGUUCCAGGUAAAUCCGGUUCACUUUAACACUGAGGCGUGACGACGAGGCACUACGGUGCUGAAGCAACAAAUGCCCUGCUUCCAGGAAAAGCCUCUAAGCAUCAGGUAACAUCAAAUCGUACCCCAAACCGACACAGGUGGUCAGGUAGAGAAUACCAAGGCGCUUGAGAGAACUCGGGUGAAGGAACUAGGCAAAAUGGUGCCGUAACUUCGGGAGAAGGCACGCUGACACGUAGGUGAAGUGAUUUACUCA